This 837-nucleotide ribosomal RNA is filed under the name uncultured bacterium. RNAcentral describes it as "bacterial SSU rRNA". It matches the Rfam family "Bacterial small subunit ribosomal RNA", at positions 24 to 875 of the family's 1533-position model. The record is from RNAcentral.
UCAGGAUGAACGCGGGCGGCGUGUUUUAUACAUGCAAGUCGAACGGAGAGUAUUAAUACUCUUACUGGCGAACGGGUGAGUAACACGUACAUGACCUGCCCCGACCAGCGGGAUAACUGUUCGAAAGGACUGCUUGUACCGCACGAAUUUCAUCGAGUUAAAUAGGCUGAUCAAAAGGGAGGCACAAGCUUCCUCUUUGGGAGGGGUCUGCGUCCCAUCAGCUAGUUGGUGAGGUAAAAGCCCACCAAGGCGACGUCGGGUAGGGAACCUGAGAGGGUGAUCCCCCACACUGGCACUGAAACACGGGCCAGACACCUACGGUUGGCAGCAGUAGGGAAUAUUGCACAAUGGGCACAAGCCUGAUGCAGCAACGCCGCGUACACAAUAAAGGCCUUCGGGUCGUAAAGUGCUUUUCGGGGAGAUGAAGAAGGACGGUAUCCCCGGAAUAAGGAUCGGCUAACUACUUGCCACCAGCCGCGGUAAAACUUAGGAUCCAAGCGUUAUCCGAAUUCACUGGGCGUAAAGCGCGUGCGGGCGGCCUGCUAAUUGGGAUGUGAAACCUCCCGGUUCACCUGGGAGAGGACUUACAAUACUACCGGGCUAGAGGGCACUAGAGGGAGGUGGAAUUCCCGGUGUAGUGGUGAAAUGCUGUAGAUUUCGGGAGGACCCCCAGUGGGGAAAGCGGCCUCUUGGCAUGCACCUGACGUUGAGAUGCGAAAGCUAGGGGAGCAACCGGGAUUAGAAACCCCGGUAUUCCUACCGGUAAACGAUGUAGGCUGGGCGUGGGUGGGGUAAAAGCCAUCCGUGCCGAAGCCAACGCGAUAAGUCUACCGCCUG